Rattus norvegicus (Norway rat) is the source of this 130-nucleotide small nucleolar RNA. Ensembl annotates it as small nucleolar RNA SNORA17. The record is from Ensembl. NCBI's taxonomy places the organism in Eukaryota, Metazoa, Chordata, Mammalia, Rodentia, Muridae.
CUUAUCCCUAAGUAUUGCAGGUCUGGUUGCUGUGUCACAUGUGCAUCAGAAAGUGGCAGAGAGGAGAGAGGUUAUGUCUACACUCAGUGUUGUGAUCUAUGAACAUCUGAAUGAUUAGAACUCUAAAAUG